This 393-nucleotide ribosomal RNA is filed under the name uncultured bacterium. RNAcentral describes it as "partial 16S ribosomal RNA". It matches the Rfam family "Bacterial small subunit ribosomal RNA", at positions 523 to 918 of the family's 1533-position model. The record is from RNAcentral.
AUACGGAGGAUGCGAGCGUUAUCCGGAUUUAUUGGGUUUAAAGGGUGCGUAGGCUGUGCGUUAAGUCAGGGGUGAAAUGCCGUCGCUCAACGACGGAGCUGCCCUUGAUACUGGCGUGCUGGAGUACGGAUGCCGUUGGAGGAAUGAGUGGUGUAGCGGUGAAAUGCUUAGAUAUCACUCAGAACCCCGACUGCGAAGGCAUCUGACGAAUACGUCACUGACGCUGAGGCACGAAAGCGUGGGGAUAGAACAGGAUUAGAUACCCUGGUUUUCCACGCCGUAAACGAUGAUGACUACCCGUCGGCGAUAGACAGCCGGUGGCCAAGCGAAAGCGAUAAGUCAUCCACCUGGGGAGUACGUCGGCAACGAUGAAACUCAAAUGCAUUGACGGGG